This 237-nucleotide long non-coding RNA is filed under the name Elaeis guineensis (African oil palm). RNAcentral's name for it is "long non-coding RNA (EGUI_LNC044393)". The record is from RNAcentral. Lineage: Eukaryota; Viridiplantae; Streptophyta; Magnoliopsida; Arecales; Arecaceae.
GGCCAGUUAAGUAAGAGAAUCAGAUGGCCUAAAUAUGUCAGUCCGAGUAAUUUUAUCUCAUCAAAGGUUAAGCUGGAAUAGAAUGGUCUCUACAAUUGAAGAUGGCCAAAUCUAGUAAGAGCCAACAAUGACAAGGAUGGAGGCUGGUGCACUAUCCAGCCUCCACGAGUCAGAUCGCUUUAUUGAGAACAAGGUAGGUUGCAAAAGUGGGAGUCUUCAGAGUCACUUGCCAUUUAG